GGCCGACUGGCCUAAUGGUUAAGGCGUCAGUUUCCGGUUGGGUGUUAGCUGAAGAUUCUGGGUUCGAAUCCCAGGUUGGUCG
This 82-nucleotide transfer RNA is filed under the name Gelatoporia subvermispora B. It matches the Rfam family "tRNA". Rfam says of the family: Transfer RNA (tRNA) molecules are approximately 80 nucleotides in length. Their secondary structure includes four short double-helical elements and three loops (D, anti-codon, and T loops). Lineage: Eukaryota; Fungi; Basidiomycota; Agaricomycetes; Polyporales; Gelatoporiaceae. The record is from Rfam by way of RNAcentral.